GACGAACGCUGGCGGCGUGCUUAACACAUGCAAGUCGAACGGAAAGGCCCUGCUUUUUUGGGGUGCUCGAGUGGCGAACGCGUGAGUAACACGUGAGUAACCUGCCCUUGACUUUGGGAUAACUUCAGGAAACUGGGGCUAAUACCGGAUCGCAGCUCCUGCUCCGUGGUGGGGGUUGGAACGUUUAGGCGGUUGGGGAUGGACUCGCGGCUUAUGAGCUUGUUGGUGGGGUAGUGGCUGACCAAGGCUUUGACGGGUAGCCGGCCUGGGAGGGUGGCCGGGGUCAUGGGGACUGAGGGACGGAGCAGAGGGGAAUGGGGGGCAGUAGUGGGGAGCAUGGUACAGUGGGCGCGAGCGGGAGGCAGCGGCGCCGGGGGCGGAAAGACGGCCUGCUGGGUGUAAACAGCAUUCGCCUGUGACGAAGCGGGAGUGACGGUAACGAGUAAAGAAGCACCGGCUAACUACGUG
This 468-nucleotide ribosomal RNA is filed under the name uncultured bacterium. Its description in RNAcentral is "partial 16S ribosomal RNA". It matches the Rfam family "Bacterial small subunit ribosomal RNA", at positions 28 to 507 of the family's 1533-position model. The record is from RNAcentral.